CGCGUAGGCGGUUUGUUUAGUUAGGCGUGAAAUUCCUGGGCUUAACCUGGGGACUGCGCUUAAUACAGGCAGACUUGAGUUCGGAAGAGGUCGUGGAAUUCCCAGUGUAGAGGUGAAAUUCGUAGAUAUUGGGAAGAACACCGGUGGCGAAGGCGGCGACCUGGUCCGAUACUGACGCUGAGGCGCGAAAGCGUGGGGAGCAAACA
RNAcentral lists this ribosomal RNA (206 nucleotides) under uncultured bacterium. RNAcentral describes it as "partial 16S ribosomal RNA". It matches the Rfam family "Bacterial small subunit ribosomal RNA", at positions 568 to 774 of the family's 1533-position model. The record is from RNAcentral.